GGUCGCUACAAACUGUACGGUGUUAUGCUUUUUCCUCUUUCCACCAACGGUAGUACUACGCGUAAAAGAGAACCUAUCACAACAUUGAAUUGUAUACGCUCCUUAGAAUUCUAUUAUUCAUUUGAAUUAAAGGGAUCCUUAAAUAUUGUAUUAAUUUCUGAUAUAAAUUUUAUGUUAGUUUCUGUGCUCGGAUUAAAAAGCUUCGAUAUAUAUAUAUAUAUGUAUAUACUUACAUACUUCUGAAUAAAACGAAAAAAUAAUUUUAUGAGGUUUACAUAACAGUGCAAAAUUCUCAUUUCUUUAACGAAAAAAUGGAGGAUUCGUUUGAAAAUAUUAAUCCCAAAUUAUACAAAAAAAUAGAUGAAAGAGAAAUUACUGCAGAAGAUGAAGAUGAAGAUAUUGUAGAUGAAUUUGAUGCACGUGAAAUUUUCGAUUUGAUUAGAAACAUCAAUGAUCCUGAACAUCCUUUGACAUUGGAAGAAUUGAAUGUGGUAGAACAAAGUCUCAUCGAAAUUGAUAAUAAAGCAAGCACAGUUCACGUAAAAUUUACUCCAACGAUACCACAUUGCAGUAUGGCAACAUUAAUUGGUUUAUCAAUUAGAGUACAAUUACUGCGAGUUCUACCUUCAAGAUUUAAAGUUAGUGUUGAAAUUACACCAGGUACUCAUAUGUCAGAGGCAGCAGUAAAUAAACAAUUAGCUGAUAAAGAAAGAAUAGCAGCAGCUCUUGAAAACAAUCAUCUACUUGAAGUGAUUAAUCAAUGUAUUGGUAUAAAAUGUUAAUAUUAUCUAAAAGGGUCUGUUGGUUUAAGACGAUAAUACAUAGCUGUGUGAGAUUUCACGUGAACAAAAACAGAUUAAAGAAAGAAGAAGAAAAAGAUCGUGAAACGGAGAGGAAUGGCAGAAGACGGCACGGUUCUAAUUACAGAUCCACAUUGUCAGCGAAGGUCUCUAACCACCAUGCUUUGGCACCGACUGUCAAUUUCUCCACAAAAUAAUUCGUUAUCUGAAAAACUAAAAUUCAUACCUACAAGAAAGUCAUCACGUAACACCAACCGUUGUGACAAAAUAACGAAUCGAACCUUCGAAACCUCCCAAGAACCUGGUAUCCAUUGCGUAGAGUGUAGAAGAUUGAAGAUCGCUUCUUGGACAGGAUUACCCACUUUACGCCCGGGUAGCAGGUCAACCAGGGCGAAAGAUAAUGGGAUUGAGCGUUCUUCGAAAAGAACAAGAUAGUGAAGCUGUCACAGGAGAGGAACGACACCAAAUUCAGCCUUGUGUCAACGUCGUAUCGCGAUCCCUUUGAUCGUGCCGAUAAAGCCCAAUUCCUACAGAAUUUUCGUGAAGACGAACACCUAGUUAGAUGAAGUCAUUUUUGCUGAGAAAGCUGACCGUCCAUUACGUGUCAGUGUCCCAUUAAUUACAAAUCGUAAUAAUGUUUUUGGUUAAGAUUUAUAACCUCGUUUGAGAUUAUAUUAUUACUAAAGUGUAAAAUUAGAACUAAACGAAUUAAAGUGAUAAGCAUAUGGAAAAAUAUGUAAUUCAGAGAAAGUAAAUUUUCAUUCGUAUGCUUUACAAAAAAUCAUUCAGAUCCCUAAAAGUAUCAUUAUAUAUAAAUCUAUAAAAUUUUUAUGACGAAUUAUGAGUUGGCAUCUUAUAUUAUGUAAUAUGUGAAACAAAUCUCUAUUUAGAUUGCAUUUCUUUAUCUUUCUAAAAAUAUGAAUCUGAAUAAGCAACUGUACUCUACAAAUAAACCUCAAAGAUAGUGUGUACUCAAAUAAAGGAAACAGACACGUGA
Molecule: RNA transcript, 1797 nt
Organism: Bombus terrestris (buff-tailed bumblebee)
Lineage: Eukaryota; Metazoa; Arthropoda; Insecta; Hymenoptera; Apidae
Gene: galla-2
Gene name: MIP18 family protein galla-2
Exons: 5
Source: RefSeq, a predicted model, not a curated record